UUGAAAGCUGAGACCACCUGCUUGCAAGAGCAGCUUUGAAAUGGUUUGAGGCCUUGCUCUACAAUAUCUACAGAGCAAGGUUAUAGAAAUUUCAGACAUUC
RNAcentral lists this small nucleolar RNA (101 nucleotides) under Echinops telfairi (small Madagascar hedgehog). RNAcentral describes it as "Small nucleolar RNA SNORA9 (ENSETEG00000026090.1)". Lineage: Eukaryota; Metazoa; Chordata; Mammalia; Afrosoricida; Tenrecidae. The record is from RNAcentral.